UGAAUACGAGACGCUAAGGCGUCGAAGUAGUGUAUGUCAUACUUCCAAGAAAAGCUUGCACUGUCAUAGAUAAAAAACGCCUGUACCAUAACCGACACAGGUGGGUAGGUAGAGUAUACUAAGGGGCGCGAGAUAACUCUCUCUAAGGAACUCGGCAAAGUAACUCCGUAACUUCGGGAGAAGGAGUGCCUUAUUCGUAAGGUUGCAAUAACAAGAUCCAAGCAACUGUUUAUCAAAAACACAGGUCUCCGCUAAGUCGUAAGACGAUGUAUGGGGGCUGACGCCUGCCCAGUGCCAGAAGGUUAAAGAAGUUGGUUAGCAAUUGCGAAGCUGAUAACUGAAGCCCAGGUGAACGGCGGCCGUAACUAUAACGGUCCUAAGGUAGCGAAAUUCCUUGUCGGGUAAGUUCCGACCCGCACGAAAGGCGUAAUGAUUUGGAUACUGUCUCGGAGAGGGGCUCGGUGAAAUAGACUUGUCUGUGAAGAUGCGGACUACCUGCACCAGGACAGAAAGACCCUAUGAAGCUUUACUGUAACUUGAAAUUGAAAUUGGACUUUAUUCGCGCAGUAUAGGUGGGAGGCGUUGAUUAUAAUCUUGUGGGAUUAUUGGAGCCAUCAGUGAGAUACCACUCUUGUAAUGUUAGAUUUCUAACUUUGAAUCAUUAUCUGGUCAAAGAACAGUUUCAGGCGGGCAGUUUGACUGGGGCGGUCGCCUCCUAAACGGUAACGGAGGCGUACAAAGGUUCCCUCUGAACGGUUAGAAAUCGUAUCUAGAGUGUUAAGGCAUAAGGAAGCUUGACUGUGAGACCUACAAGUCGAGCAGGGACGAAAGUCGGUCUUAGUGAUCUGACGGUACUGAGUGGAAAGGCCGUCACUCAACGGAUAAAAGUUACUCUAGGAUAACAGGCUGAUCUCCCCCAAGAGUUCACAUCGACGGGGAGGUUUGGCACCUCGAUGUCGGCUCAUCGCAUCCUGGGGCGGUAGUACGUCCCAAGGGUUGGGCUGUUCGCCCAUGAAAGCGGUACGCGAGCUGGGUUCAGAACGUCGUGAGACAGUUCGGUCCAUAUCCGGUGUAGGCGUUAGAAUAUUGAGAGGAGCCUUCUUUAGUACGAGAGGACCGAGAAGGACAUACCUCUGGUGUACCAGUUAUCGUGCCAACGGUAAACGCUGGGUAGCUAUGUAUGGAGUGGAUAACCGCUGAAAGCAUCUAAGUGGGAAGCCCACCUCAAGAUAAGUAUUC
Molecule: ribosomal RNA, 1239 nt
Filed under: metagenome
Description: bacterial LSU rRNA
Rfam family: Bacterial large subunit ribosomal RNA
Source: RNAcentral